This 507-nucleotide ribosomal RNA is filed under the name uncultured bacterium. RNAcentral's name for it is "bacterial SSU rRNA". It matches the Rfam family "Bacterial small subunit ribosomal RNA", at positions 40 to 507 of the family's 1533-position model. The record is from RNAcentral.
CGGCGUGCCUAAUACAUGCAAGUCGAACGCACUCUCGUUUAGAUUGAAGGAGCUUGCUCCUGAUUGAUAAGCAUUUGAGUGAGUGGCGGACGGGUGAGUAACACGUGGGUAACCUGCCCUAAAGUGGGGGAUAACAUUUGGAAACAGAUGCUAAUACCGCAUAAAACCUAGCACCGCAUGGUGCAGGGUUGAAAGAUGGUUUCGGCUAUCACUUUAGGAUGGACCCGCGGUGCAUUAGUUAGUUGGUGAGGUAAAGGCUCACCAAGACCGUGAUGCAUAGCCGACCUGAGAGGGUAAUCGGCCACACUGGGACUGAGACACGGCCCAGACUCCUACGGGAGGCAGCAGUAGGGAAUCUUCCACAAUGGACGAAAGUCUGAUGGAGCAACGCCGCGUGAGUGAAGAAGGUUUUCGGAUCGUAAACACUGUUGUUGGAGAAGAAUGUAUCUGAUAGUAACUGAUCAGGUAGUGACGGUAUCCAACCAGAAAGCCACGGCUAACUACGUG